Molecule: long non-coding RNA, 1717 nt
Organism: Plectropomus leopardus (leopard coralgrouper)
Lineage: Eukaryota; Metazoa; Chordata; Actinopteri; Perciformes; Serranidae
Source: RefSeq, a predicted model, not a curated record
UCUCUGCAUUCAGCUUCCAAACGCCAACAGUAAACGGUGUGUGGGUGUAGAGCUCCUGUUGUAUCAGAAUCAUUCCUCACAUUGGAGAGAAGCACUACAUGAAGUGAGAUUGACUUCAAGAAUGUCCCUCCUGCUGUUGUGUUUGAGUCUUACUUUUCUACAAAGCUUUGCCUCAUUGGCUGCAGAAAUGGUGAAGUGCAACAAAACAGAGAGCAUUUUUGCUGGAGAAACCGUGACGCUAAACUGCAGUUUAAACUUAGAGGGCUGUAAAGGUGUACGCUAUCACUGGAGCAGCACACGAGGAGAUGUACCAUGUGACAGUGGCUUAGAAUAUAAGUGUGAAUGGGAUCGUCUGACUUAUGUGUCGCUGGCCACCUCAAACGUCACAGGAGAGGAAAAUUUUACCAUUCGCAUACAGACAGACUGUGGUCAUACUAAACCAUUGACUGUUAAAGUACAAGGACCAGUUUACGUGAACAGCACCAGGACCACUGUUGGUAACCCAGAGCGAGCACUCACUGUAUUCCCAGUUUUGGGUAUUUUCAUCUCCCUCUUUGUUUUGGGAAUUUUGUUUUUCCUGAUUGGAACUGAUAAAGGCAGAAAAAUGAUGAAAUGCACCAGGGAGAAAAUGACUCGAGGAGACAACAGUGAUAAUGACACCGCACUAUGGAAUGAAGAGUUGCUGGUUAUCUGACAAAUUCAGGAUCUUCCUGUAGGCGAUAUAUAACCUCUUCCCACCAAAAUUAGCAAGUGUAUACAGGUUUUUUAAACACAGGAAAACCUACUAAAAAUAAGCUAUAGACUCCUGUGUGCUGCAGAGCUGUGUAUGUGGCUCUGCAGCACACAAGCAAGCCUUGAUGUUUGCAUUUACUGGUGUGUCACAUUUGAUGUCACAAACAGGCCAGAAAACAGGUUAUUAAACAGUAUAGAGGCCAGUAACAAUGUUACAGUGAUUAUCUUAUUAUUUUAUAUACAUAGAAAUAUAUUAUUCUUAUUCAUCAUAUUUUUUCAGACCCCAGAUGAUGUAAUCAGGGUUAUCUCAGCUACAAGCAGAGACUGUAUGAAAAUAUGGACUUAACUACCAAGACGUUUUGGUUUCUGGACUCCCAUUUUGACAUCUCAAGCGUGAUAUUAAAUAUAUUUCAUUCUUAAACAUACUUAACUUUGGGCUUUUUAUAAAAUGUGAACUGGUGAGUUAGAAAAAAAUCAUCCCUGUACAGUUUAAAUUACCUGUAAAGACCAAAAAUGUUUUUUGUACUAGACUGUAAAUAUGUUUAUUUCUGUUGUAAAGUUGAGCAUUUUUAUAUGGCGGUCUAUAUUCUGUUUAGGUACCAGCCCCUAGUGGCCAUUAGAGGAAUUGCAUUUUUUUGAUAAUUGCACAGCUUUCACUUUUCGGCCUCAGAGGUUGCCGCUUGGCUAAGAGACUAUUAAAAAAUUAAUGACAACUCUGCGUUACAGGCUUUGGUGUGGCCUUACAAUUUUAUUAAAGUGCAACACAAAACCUUUUAUUUCACUUACUUCAUUCUGCAAUAAAAAGAAGCAAAGUAAAAAUCAAAAGUAAAAGUGUUGUUGGUCUGUUUGAUGUAACUGUAAAAAGAGUGACCGUUCUAGUGUGUACAUGCUUUGUGUGCAGAUUAUGGUGUAGAUAUAAUCAGGCUGUGUACAUGUACCAGUCAUGUGUGAUGGAACAUUUCUUGAAAUAAAGUUUUGUCAGUGA